RNAcentral lists this ribosomal RNA (408 nucleotides) under uncultured bacterium. RNAcentral describes it as "bacterial SSU rRNA". It matches the Rfam family "Bacterial small subunit ribosomal RNA", at positions 505 to 916 of the family's 1533-position model. The record is from RNAcentral.
GUGCCAGCCGCCGCGGUAAUACGUAGGGGGCGAGCGUUGUCCGGAAUGACUGGGCGUAAAGGGUGCGUAGGCGGCCAGGUAAGUCAGAUGUGAAAGGCAUAGGCUCAACCUAUGUAAGCAUUUGAAACUGUCUGGCUUGAGUCGAGGAGAGGAAAGUGGAAUUCCUGGUGUAGCGGUGAAAUGCGUAGAUAUCAGGAGGAAUACCAGUGGCGAAGGCGACUUUCUGGACUUGGACUGACGCUGAGGCACGAAAGCGUGGGGAGCAAACAGGAUUAGAUACCCUGGUAGUCCACGCUGUAAACGAUGAGUGCUAGGUGUCGGGGCGAAAGCUUCGGUGCCGGAGUUAACACAAUAAGCACUCCGCCUGGGGAGUACGGUCGCAAGACUGAAACUCAAAGGAAUUGGCGG